UCUCAGGCUUCCGGAAUUCUCAAGCAAUCCAAUUCGAUUCGCUUCUCGACUGUUUCACUUGGCAUUGUGAGAGUUUCUGCAUGUCGUGUGAGGAUAAAGCCAUGUCCGGUCGAAGUCCAUCCCCAAAGAUUCAAAUUCCUGAAAUUGCUAGCUCCAGUGGAGCCAUUUCUGUCACUUCUACUAAUGAACCGACGCACUCAACAGCACUACAAAGUGAGAAUUUACAUGGGCCUGUUGCCAUUCUUUGGGACAUUGAAAACUGCCCAGUUCCAAAUGAUGUUAGACCUGAAGAUGUUGCUGGCAACAUUCGUCUUGCAUUGAGAGUGCACCCUUUGAUCAAAGGAGCUGUGACAAUGUUUGCUGCAUAUGGGGACUUCAAUUCCUUCCCCCGGAGGCUAAGAGAGGGCUGCCAAAGGACAGGCGUCAAGCUUGUUGAUGUGCCAAAUGGAAGAAAAGAUGCUGCUGACAAGGCUAUUUUGGUUGAUAUGUUCCUAUUUGCCCUUGACAAUCGUCCACCCUCAUCUAUUUUGCUUAUAUCUGGGGAUGUGGAUUUUGCUCCUGCAUUGCAUAUACUGGGGCAACGUGGGUACACAGUGAUUCUUGUCAUCCCUUCUAAAGUUGGCGUCUCUUCUGCUCUCUGCAAUGCUGGAAGAUUCGUAUGGGACUGGCCAAGCAUUGCCCGUGGAGAAGGUUUUGUCCCUUCAAGAACCAGUGUAGCACGGGGAUCCGACCGUUCUGGCUAUCUCAUGAAUAACUUUUUUGAUAACUGCCCUGAUAUUCAGAUUGAAGAAGAAGCCAUAGUUUAUAAAGGAAGUGGCUACAAUUCAUGCAGUAAUUCUAGUAAUCUCAGGGAUCAUUCCAAUGUAUCCCAAAUAUCUACCGAUUCCUCAAAGCUUCAAGGUCAGCCUUCUAGAAUGAGUGAAGUUCCUUCAAGGGAUCAGAGCUGCAGGGCACAAGACAGUUGGGUACAGCCAGGAGAUAUUCAAGGCUUGAAGGGCCAGCUGGUGAAGCUGCUAGAGAUAUCUGGUGGAAGUUUGCCCCUUGUUCGGGUUCCAUCAGAAUAUCUUAGGAGCUAUGGAAGGCCACUCUACAUGUCAGAAUAUGGAGUAUUCAAGCUGGUGCACCUUGUAGACAGGAUGGCUGAUACCUUGAUUUUGGUGGGAAAGGGACAUAAAAAGUGUCUCUGCCUUCGCAACUCAGAUAGAAAUAUUAAGAAGUAUGAGAACAUACCAAUAAUCCUGAAGAGAAAUAAGAACGAUAAAGGCAUAGUUGGGGAAACUGUUGAUACUGGUAUCAGUCCUAAUACAGGAAGCUCUUCGGAUGACUCAUCAGAUGAUGAAAGGAAUGCUGAUGCAGGGUGUGAAUUUGAUGAGCUUCUUGAAGGUUUCACGAGGGAAAUACAAGAGAUUCUAGUGUGCUACUCAUGUCCAGUCCCUUUAGACUGCUUUGAGGCUUUGUAUGAGCAGCGUUACAAAAAAAUUGUUGAUUACCAGAAGUUAGGAGCAGAAGGGCUUGAAGACUUGGUUGAGAAGGUAAGAGAUGUUGUGGAACUCCGUGAGGAUGAAGGAAGUGAGAAGAAGUUCCUCAUCUCCAGCAUUUUAAGUGGGUUUGAAGGAAUUGCCAACUCUGGCUUUGAGGACAGAUUGAGAAGCUGAAAAGGAGAAUUAUAUCAAUGAGAUCUGUGAGUGCUUCUUAUCCUUGUGCUAAAACAAGCACUCAUCAAUUUCUUUUGAGAACUAUUGCUCUGAUUCAACUAUCUAGCUCAGUUCCCAUGUCGGCGGCCAUGCCGCAAUAAAUCAUUUAAAUCCAAUAAUAUAUCUUGCUUCGUCUUCUCUACCUAUUAAAAAUUAAAUCAUAGAGUACAUCAGUGGUAUUCAAUGGUGCAAUUUGCUUGUUUUUUAUAUUCAUACUGGGGAAAACUUCCUACCUCCACUUUCUCCAGGACUGAUUUGAAUUCAACACAUUGCCAUUGUUUUGCAUCUGCCUGUCUUUGAGAUUUGAGAAACAUCCUACUAAACUACCCAAAAGUGAUUCCCCCUGUUGAUCAUUUAAAGCUAAGGAGAACUGGUUAGACAAAGUCUUACCAGAUAAUUGGAACAAGGGUAAUUAUAAUAUUGAUGAUGAUGAGAAUCAUUUUCCAUGAAGAUCAUUCACUAACCACCAGAUUACCAUAAUGUUAAAUGACAUUUUCUUUUGAUUGAUUUCAUGAAUUUGUGAAU
RNA transcript from Dendrobium catenatum, 2219 nucleotides. RefSeq lists it as uncharacterized. The transcript has 4 exons. NCBI's taxonomy places the organism in Eukaryota, Viridiplantae, Streptophyta, Magnoliopsida, Asparagales, Orchidaceae. The record is from RefSeq and is a predicted model, not a curated record.